CAGAAACUUGGAGUCAUUAAAUAUAAAAGAAUUAGAGGACCUAAUGAUUUACAUUGUGGAUGCUUCAAAUGCUGGGUUCAAGUUGGAUUGCCUGCAAUUGCAACCUAUUGCAUGCAAAGCAAAGNNNNNNNNNNNNNGACCAGUGUAAUUCUUUGGAGAAGCAGAAGUCUUCUUUAGAAUGUCAACUGCGAGAGGUAGAAUCUGAAUGCCAGAAAGCAGAGGUUGAGCUACAAAAUCAUCGUCAAGAGCUUGUAUCUCUCACUGAAGGACUUGUUUAUCAGUUUAUACC
RNAcentral lists this unclassified non-coding RNA (289 nucleotides) under Hevea brasiliensis (rubber tree). The record is from RNAcentral. Lineage: Eukaryota; Viridiplantae; Streptophyta; Magnoliopsida; Malpighiales; Euphorbiaceae.